GUGGAUAAUUAUGCGUAGCCAGAGCAACAUGAUAGCCCAACAUAAUUAUGUAAUUAUGUUGGGCUAUGAUGUUGCUCUGGCUACGCAUAAUUAUCCAC
This is a non-coding RNA of Paramuricea clavata, 98 nucleotides long. NCBI's taxonomy places the organism in Eukaryota, Metazoa, Cnidaria, Anthozoa, Malacalcyonacea, Plexauridae. The record is from the annotation of a GenBank genome assembly.